UGGGGAAUUUUGGACAAUGGGCGAAAGCCUGAUCCAGCAAUGCCGCGUGUGUGAAGAAGGCCUUCGGGUUGUAAAGCACUUUUGUCCGGAAAGAAAUCCUUGGCUCUAAUACAGUCGGGGGAUGACGGUACCGGAAGAAUAAGCACCGGCUAACUACGUGCCAGCAGCCGCGGUAAUACGUAGGGUGCAAGCGUUAAUCGGAAUUACUGGGCGUAAAGCGUGCGCAGGCGGUUUGCUAAGACCGAUGUGAAAUCCCCGGGCUCAACCUGGGAACUGCGUUGGUGACUGGCAGGCUAGAGUAUGGCAGAGGGGGGUAGAAUUCCACGUGUAGCAGUGAAAUGCGUAGAGAUGUGGAGGAAUACCGAUGGCGAAGGCAGCCCCCUGGGCCAAUACUGACGCUCAUGCACGAAAAGCGUGGGGAGCAAAACAGGAUUAGAUACCCUGGUAGUCCACGCCCUAAAACGAUGUCAACUAGUUGUUGGGGAUUCAUUCCUUAGUAACGUAGCUAACGCGUGAAGUUGACCGCCUGGGGAGUACGGUCGCAAGAUUAAAAACUUAAAGGAAUUGACGGGGUCAUA
This 578-nucleotide ribosomal RNA is filed under the name uncultured bacterium. Its description in RNAcentral is "partial 16S ribosomal RNA". It matches the Rfam family "Bacterial small subunit ribosomal RNA", at positions 355 to 923 of the family's 1533-position model. The record is from RNAcentral.